GGCAGGGUAGCUCAGCCUGGUAGAGCAAGGGACUCAUAAGCCCUAAGCCGCGGGUUCGAAUCCCGCCCCUGCCA
RNAcentral lists this transfer RNA (74 nucleotides) under Candidatus Palauibacterales bacterium. RNAcentral describes it as "tRNA-Met". It matches the Rfam family "tRNA". Rfam says of the family: Transfer RNA (tRNA) molecules are approximately 80 nucleotides in length. Their secondary structure includes four short double-helical elements and three loops (D, anti-codon, and T loops). Further hydrogen bonds mediate the characteristic L-shaped molecular structure. tRNAs have two regions of fundamental functional importance: the anti-codon, which is responsible for specific mRNA codon recognition, and the 3' end, to which the tRNAs corresponding amino acid is attached (by aminoacyl-tRNA synthetases). tRNAs cope with the degeneracy of the genetic code in two manners: having more than one tRNA (with a specific anti-codon) for a particular amino acid; and 'wobble' base-pairing, i.e. permitting non-standard base-pairing at the 3rd anti-codon position. The record is from RNAcentral. Lineage: Bacteria; Pseudomonadati; Gemmatimonadota; Gemmatimonadia; Candidatus Palauibacterales. RNAcentral also lists the same sequence under 1 other name.